CCUACGGGAGACAGCAGUGAGGAAUAUUGGUCAAUGGACGAGAGUCUGAACCAGCCAAGUAGCGUGAAGGAUGACUGCCCUAUGGGUUGUAAACUUCUUUUAUAAAGGAAUAAAACGCGGCACGUGUGCCUUUUUGCAUGUACUUUAUGAAUAAGGAUCGGCUAACUCCGUGCCAGCAGCCGCGGUAAUACGGAGGAUCCGAGCGUUAUCCGGAUUUAUUGGGUUUAAAGGGAGCGUAGAUGGGUUGUUAAGUCAGUUGUGAAAGUUUGCGGCUCAACCGUAAAAUUGCAAUUGAUACUGGCAGUCUUGAGUACAGUCGAGGUAGGCGGAAUUCGUGGUGUAGCGGUGAAAUGCUUAGAUAUCACGAAGAACCCUGAUUGCGAAGGCAGCCUACUAAACUGUGACUGACAUUGAUGCUCGAAAGUGUGGGUAUCAAACAGGAUUAGAUACCCUUGUAGUC
RNAcentral lists this ribosomal RNA (460 nucleotides) under uncultured bacterium. RNAcentral's name for it is "partial 16S ribosomal RNA". It matches the Rfam family "Bacterial small subunit ribosomal RNA", at positions 338 to 795 of the family's 1533-position model. The record is from RNAcentral.